AGAAUCAACGCUGGCGGCGUGCCUAACACAUGCAAGUCGAACGAGAAAGGGGUAGCAAUACCCUGAGUAAAGUGGCGCACGGGUGAGUAACACGUGACUAACCUACCCUUGAGUGGGGGAUAACUGAGGGAAACCUUAGCUAAUACCGCAUAAUACCCACGGGUCAAAGGAGCAAUUCGCUCGAGGAGGGGGUCGCGGCCGAUUAGUUAGUUGGCGGGGUAAUGGCCCACCAAGACGAUGAUCGGUAUCCGGCCUGAGAGGGCGCACGGACACACUGGAACUGAAACACGGUCCAGACUCCUACGGGAGGCAGCAGUGGGAAUUUUGCGCAAUGGGGAACCCUGACGCAGCAACGCCGCGUGGAGGAUGAAGUCCUUCGGGACGUAAACUCCUUUCGAUCGGGACGAUUAUGACGGUACCGGAAGAAGAAGCCCGGCUAACUUCGUGCCAGCAGCCGC
Molecule: ribosomal RNA, 458 nt
Filed under: uncultured bacterium
Lineage: Bacteria
Description: SSU rRNA
Rfam family: Bacterial small subunit ribosomal RNA
Source: RNAcentral